This 253-nucleotide ribosomal RNA is filed under the name uncultured bacterium. RNAcentral describes it as "partial 16S ribosomal RNA". It matches the Rfam family "Bacterial small subunit ribosomal RNA", at positions 524 to 776 of the family's 1533-position model. The record is from RNAcentral.
UACGAAGGGAGCUAGCGUUGUUCGGAAUCACUGGGCGUAAAGCGCACGUAGGCGGACUUGUCAGUCAGGGGUGAAAUCCCGGGGCUCAACCUCGGAACUGCCUCUGAUACAGCAAGUCUUGAGUCCGGAAGAGGUGGGUGGAAUUCCUAGUGUAGAGGUGAAAUUCGUAGAUAUUAGGAAGAACACCGGUGGCGAAGGCGGCCCACUGGUCCGGUACUAACGCUGAGGUGCGAAAGCGUGGGGAGCAAACAGG